UAGCACCACAUGAUUCGGCUU
Molecule: non-coding RNA, 21 nt
Organism: Drosophila melanogaster (fruit fly)
Lineage: Eukaryota; Metazoa; Arthropoda; Insecta; Diptera; Drosophilidae
Source: Ensembl